UAGGAUUUGGAUUAGGAUUUGGUUUAGGAUUUGGAAUUUAGGAUUUAUUUAGGAUUUAGGAUUUGGUUAGGAUUUAGUUAGGAUAUUAUUUAAGAUUUAGGAUUUGGAUUAGGAUUUGGUUAGGAUUUGAUUUAGGGUUUAUGGUUUGGUUCAGGGUUUGGUUAGGAUUUGGUUUAGGAUUUGGUUGGAGUUUGGUUUAAGGUUUGUUUCAGGUUUGAUUUAGAGUUUAGUAUUUUAUUAGGAUUUAAGAUUGAAUUAGUUUUGGCCUAAAGUUUAAAUAAAGUUCAAUAGAAUUUUAACUAGAAUUAAAUUAAGAUUGAAUUGAGAUGUAUUUGAGUGAUAUUUGUGAUCCUUCUAAUAUUUCUUUAAGAAUUUUUAUUGUUUGUUUGAAAUUUCUUUGAGAUUUUUUUGAAUUUGAUUAAGCUUGUUUAGCAUUAUUAUGGUCUAAUU
RNAcentral lists this long non-coding RNA (450 nucleotides) under Physcomitrium patens. Its description in RNAcentral is "long non-coding RNA (PPAT_LNC000950)". Lineage: Eukaryota; Viridiplantae; Streptophyta; Bryopsida; Funariales; Funariaceae. The record is from RNAcentral.